Molecule: long non-coding RNA, 1045 nt
Filed under: Cricetulus griseus (Chinese hamster)
Lineage: Eukaryota; Metazoa; Chordata; Mammalia; Rodentia; Cricetidae
Description: lncRNA (ENSCGRG00015038347.1)
Source: RNAcentral
CACACACACACACUCGUGUACACUCACACACUCGUGUACACUCUCACAUACACACUGUCACACACUCUCACACACACACACACACUCACACACACACUGUCACACACACUCGUGUACACUCACACACUCGUGUACACUCUCACAUACACACUGUCACACACACACACUCUCACACACACACACACACACUCGUGUGCACUCACACCGAUCUCCGUAACUCAAACAGCAUCCACCCCCCCCCUCCCCCCUCCCCCGAAGCCUUCUCCGUCCCUCUGUGCGCAGCUGCCUUCCCUCUGAGGGUCGUCUUUCACAUUUCCCUGCAGUUGCCCUCAGAGUGCGGAGUGAGACACACGCACGUUCCACUCACUGUGCCUGAUCUGCGCGGCGCUGGGGACUGAACCUAGAGCCUCGAGCUCGCUAGACAGACACUCUGGAGCCGGGGCCACAUCCCCGCCGCUGAGGGGGUUUGUAAUCAAAGCUUGAAGACAGAAAGCACAAGUGUUUCUAGUUGACCCAAGGCGACCCCAGGGGAGUUAUUGGCUGGAGGAGACCCCAGGGCAGUGAUUGGCUGGAGGAGACCCCAGGGCAGUGAUUGGCUGGAGGAGACCCCAGGGCAGUGAUUGGCUGGAGGAGACCCCAGGGCAGUGAUUGGCUGGAGGUGACCUGCUGGACAGUGAUUGGCUGAAUCGCUGUUUUUUUAUAUAAAGAAUGCUCAAUGCUUUGGAUUCACUGGAGUUAUAAACCGGAUGCUGCGGCUUCUAGGAGUUUAGCCUGCGGUUCGAAGUAAAGGUUUGUGUGUUUUGUAGCAUUUACUGUGUGCACACACGUGCCCAGUAAUGCACUGUGCAGGUCAGAGAGGGUUUGCAGGAGUCAGUACCCUCUUUCAUCCCAUGGGUCCCAUCGAACUGAGGACCUCAGGUUUGGCAGCAAGCACCCUUACCCAGCAGGCCAUCUCAGUGGUCCCUGAGAUGAGGUUUUGGCAUACAUACAUUUGAGGUAGGGUACUGGGGACUGAACCUAAGCCCUCUAGCACUCAGCUAUGGAC